Molecule: long non-coding RNA, 184 nt
Organism: Ruditapes philippinarum (Manila clam)
Lineage: Eukaryota; Metazoa; Mollusca; Bivalvia; Venerida; Veneridae
Exons: 3
Source: RefSeq, a predicted model, not a curated record
CAGAUUGAUUGAAAAGGUUUCAUCAAAACGUGACACUAAGGGCAUUCACAAAAAGGUAGAUAAACAAAAACAAGAACAACAAGCACAAGAGGCAGUAAAAAAGGCAGAACAACAGUGGAAAUCAAAAUUAAUUGAAGUUAAAGACUGGCUCAAUAAGUUGCUGCAGCAAAUUUCUGACAACCAA